This is a long non-coding RNA of Contarinia nasturtii (swede midge), 1135 nucleotides long. RefSeq lists it as uncharacterized. NCBI's taxonomy places the organism in Eukaryota, Metazoa, Arthropoda, Insecta, Diptera, Cecidomyiidae. The transcript is spliced from 4 exons. The record is from RefSeq and is a predicted model, not a curated record.
UGUCACAAAUUGUUUUUCGCUGCAUUCUUAAAUUGAAUUGUCUCAUUUUCAUACUUUCAUGUAAGAAAUGCACAUCGCGACGAAUAUUAACCAUAAAGUUUUUGGCACUUCAUGAAAUAUGAUCAAUCGCUUAUUGCGGUUUCGUUCUACAAAUAGAUGGUACACCAUCCCGUGUGAAAAAUUACUGACUGGCUAGUCAGUUAACUAAUUUGGGACGUCUUAAGCCAACUGAGAUUGAAGUCAUUUAAAGUUGAUUUGCUUGAUUUUUCAGUCAAUUCCAGUAGAGAAAAAUAUAACUCAAAUCAAAUUCAACCACACUUAGCUAUAGCCAUCUAACGUCCCAAAUUAGUCGCCUGUUUAAAAUCAGAAAAAUAGACGACCAAACUCUACAGUGUAGAAAGUUUUAGUUAACAAAAUUAAUUUUCAGUUGAUAUUAGCUAGACAGUCAGUCACUUUUUUUCACACUGAAUGUCAUACAAUAACACUGGCUAACUUUUUGGCAUUGUUCUUUAAAACAAAAACGCAAAGUGGCAAACAUUUUCAAAGAAUAACACCCGGUCAUAAUACAAAAACGAUGAUGACGUCACAACAUCAGGUGUCACGUUAGAUGAUGUGGAUAAACGUGUAAUAUUCUUAAAUCGGCCGCAGCCACAAAAAUUUUGUAGCAACCGUAUAUCCACGGCAAAAUAUAGCUUAAUAAGUUUCCUACCUUCAUUUUUAUUUGAACAAUUUCGAAGAUAUUCGAACUGUUUUUUUCUAUUCAUUGCAUUACUUCAACAAAUACCUGAUGUUUCUCCAACGGGUCGAUAUACCACAUUAGUUCCAUUAAUAUUCAUUCUAGCUGUAAGCGCCAUUAAAGAAAUUAUUGAAGAUUUUAAACGUCACCGAGCGGAUGAUGACACCAAUCAUAGAGAUGUGGAAACACUUCGCAAUGGUCAAUGGGUCGCCAUCAAAUGGCAAAAUCUCGUUGUCGGCGACAUUGUUCGAAUUAUCAAUAAUGCAUUUUUUCCAGCCGAUAUGGUUUUAUUGUCAUCGAGUGAACCACAAGCAAUGGCAUUCAUUGAAACGUCGAACUUGGAUGGUGAAACGAACUUGAAAAUCCGACAAGCGGUGCCAGGUAAUUGUGUUAAUUCAA